AGUAACACGUGAGUGACCUGCCUUUUAGACUGGAACAACUUACCGAAAGGUGAGCUAAUGCCGGAUGAGUUAUAUAAGUGCAUGUUUAUAUAGGAAAAGUUGGGGAGACCUGACGCUGAAAGAUGGACUCGCGUCCCAUUAGCUAGUUGGUAGGGUAAUGGCCUACCAAGGCGACGAUGGGUAGCCGGCCUGAGAGGGUGGCCGGCCACACUGGGACUGAGACACAGCCCAGACUCCUACGGAAGGCAGCAG
This 252-nucleotide ribosomal RNA is filed under the name uncultured bacterium. Its description in RNAcentral is "partial 16S ribosomal RNA". It matches the Rfam family "Bacterial small subunit ribosomal RNA", at positions 109 to 354 of the family's 1533-position model. The record is from RNAcentral.